This is a long non-coding RNA of Betta splendens (Siamese fighting fish), 2306 nucleotides long. RefSeq lists it as uncharacterized. The record is from RefSeq and is a predicted model, not a curated record. Lineage: Eukaryota; Metazoa; Chordata; Actinopteri; Anabantiformes; Osphronemidae. The transcript has 2 exons.
GAACUAAGAAUUAACUGUACAUGGAAAUUUCAGGAACUCAGAAUUUCUAUUUACUCCAAAUUUGCAGUGCUUGCACAAAAAUGCAUUUCUGAUGCUGAAGUCAGCUAAAACUGAGUAAAGAUAAUGAUAAAAGAUGCAACUGAACAAUUUAGUCAAAAAGCAAUGGAAAUAAUCUAGUUUAUGCACACAUAAACAAUAUUAUAUAUAACAAAUCCAUCACAAUACAAAUUGUAGUGUAGGCGAUAGAGAUAAGGGAAAUCUUUAAUCGUCUCAUAGGGAAAAUUUUCAUCAUUAUAGCAACAGUACACGAGAAGUAACAAAGCAAUGUAAAAAUCACAGUAAUUCAGCAAUGUAGAUUUAAUGGUGUAGAUUUAAUUUAAUUUAAUUAAUCAUGUUUGUUUGGACCCAAAGAGACCCCAUUAAGUGGCUCUGGAUAGCAGGGGUGAGGAUUGGGUCUCCGCCUGCCUCAGAAACAGAGUCGGCCACUGACAGGAAUUGACCACUGGCCACACGAGACAUAUUGGUCAAUUAUUGAAUGUAGAAAACCAGGGAUUGGUCCCCAACAGAUCAUAGGAGACAGGAGCCGACCUCCAGAGUCACCACAGAAGUCUGUCCCGCAAGGAACGAGGAGUCGUUCCCUCUAAUGAGGCCGCAGGACAUUUGGAGAUGGCCCCUCCAGUGGUCCAUAGGAAUCUGCCACAGACUGCAGCAAACAAAUAAUUGAUCCUCCCCAGGGGACCAUAAGAAACCAGGAAUUGACCCUGCCAGUAGGACUUUAAAUACAAAUACACCAGAUGGAAAUCCCAGGUGAGUUCCGUUGAAUGUUGUUUCGGUGGUCAAAGUUGGAGUUGGAACCACCAGGAAAGAGGAAUCGGUCACUUCUUGAACAUAGGCAAUCAAGAAUUGUAUUCAAGAGGUAUAACACGUCAAACAGAACUUACAAUCAGUGACCCAGCACAGAGGGUAAGAAACAGAACAGCUCGCAGGACCAGCCCAGGGAUUCUAACAGAGCCCCUCCCUUAAGGGCCAAAUUCCAGACGGCCCAACCCAGACACCCAGUGCCAGCCCAUCCCUGAACCACCUAUAGGAACAGAAAGCGUUCUCCCUGGACAAUCCAGAACAGGAACAGAAGGGGCCCUCCCUGUACCUCGCAAAACAGGAACAAAAGGGGUCCUUUCUGAGCCAUCCAAAACAGGAACAUUUGGGGUCUUCUCUGGGCCAUCAUGGAAAAGAGUGGUGAUGGGUCUGGAUGGGCAUCAGUAGCAUUGAGCUUUGGUUGAGCUAAGCUGUGGACCAUUGGCUGAUGCAGGCUGUGGAGCUGCAGCAACAGAGUAAUGUGGAGCAGGGGCUACAGCGGUGCGUGGUGCAGAAGCCACAUAAGAACCAGAAGCUACAGCAGCAGGGGGAACGAAAGACUGGAGCAGCACCUGGAUGUGGGGUUGCAGCACCAGGGGGACUUAAAGCAGGGCCCAGACGUUUCACCACUGCAGCAUAGAUGAACUGUGGGGGAGCACUGAUAGGAGCAGUGGACAGAACGCGUUGUGAGCCUCGAGUUUUCAGCUCUUUCCAAACUACUCAAGCUUCAGAAGGGGACAAUGUGGAAGUUGUGGCAGGUGUGUCACCUCAAACAAAGACAGCCUGAGAAGCAAAGUUUGAAGACGGAGCUAUAGGUCAGACUGAAAGGUAGCAGCAAAAGGGCAUUAAACCGAGCAGGGUAUGGAGCAGGGACUCUGAAUUAGCUGCGGAACAAGACAGAGUCUCUAAGUCACUCAACAGGGCAAUGAGUUGCCUAACUCCUGAGCACCCCAUAAAAAGGCAUAGGAUUAUAAUCAAAAACUCAUAUGAAUGAAUAAACAAAAAUCACUCCUGUCAAAAAUAAAUUAGAAAACACACAACCAAGAGGAUAAAACACUGACAAAAUGAUGCUAGAAAAAAUAACAAUAGAAGGAAGAGCCAUGAGGCUAAGUAUUGGGGUGAAGGCUUAAUGUAAAUACAAAACUAUUUAAACACUAAUUAGAACCAUAACACAUUUUCUAUUGGUGGCUUUGACGCAGCUGCGUAAUGAAACGACACAUUCUCUUCUCUCAAGAGUUGAAAAAUGACACGCUUUGUUCGCAAAAGCCUCUAACUGUGUGAAAAAAACUGGAAAUAUGCAACAAAAAAUAUUUUUUCCUUCAAACAACACAACUUGCAACCAAGUAUAUGAACACGUCCAAUCAUUCAUAUCAGUGGACAGCAAAAUACAAACCACUGAUCUCAGUGUAAAUCAGUGUUUCAUGUAUUGUCAUUAAAGCCUGUUGCUCUUU